Molecule: ribosomal RNA, 149 nt
Filed under: Oryza sativa Indica Group (long-grained rice)
Lineage: Eukaryota; Viridiplantae; Streptophyta; Magnoliopsida; Poales; Poaceae
Description: rRNA 5_8S_rRNA
Rfam family: Bacterial large subunit ribosomal RNA
Source: RNAcentral
AAGUGCACAUGGUGGAUGCCUUGGCGAUAUCAGGCGAUGAAGGACGUAGUAGCUUGCGAUAAGCUGCGGGGAGCUAGCAAACAAGCUUUGAUCCGCAGAUUUCCGAAUGGGGAAACCCGGCCCUCUGGGUCAUCACUCACUGAAUACAU